UACGAAGGGGGGCUAGCGUUGCUCGGAUUGACUGGGCGUAAAGGGCGCGUAGGCGGUUCGUACAGUCAGACGUGAAAUCCUGGGCUCAACCUGGGGGCUGCGUUUGAUACGUGCGGGCUUGAGUGCGGAAGAGGGUCGUGGAAUUCCCAGUGUAGAGGUGAAAUUCGUAGAUAUUGGGAAGAACACCGGUGGCGAAGGCGGCGACCUGGUCCGAUACUGACGCUGAGGCGCGAAAGCGUGGGGAGCAAACAGG
Molecule: ribosomal RNA, 253 nt
Filed under: uncultured bacterium
Lineage: Bacteria
Description: partial 16S ribosomal RNA
Rfam family: Bacterial small subunit ribosomal RNA
Source: RNAcentral